GACGAACGCUGGCGGCGUGCUUAACACAUGCAAGUCGAGCGAUGAAGUUUCUUCGGAAAUGGAUUAGCGGCGAACGGGUGAGGAACACGUGAAGAAUCUGCCCUCCACUUUGGGAUAACACCGGGAAACCGGUGCUAAUACCGAAUAUUGAAACAUAAGUGGCAUCACUGAGUUUUGAAAGAAUUUCGGUGGAGGAUGACUUCGCGGCCUAUCAGCUAGUUGGUGAGGUAAUGGCUCACCAAGGCAACGACGGGUAGCCGGCCUGAGAGGGCGACCGGCCACACUGGGACUGAGACACGGCCCAGACUCCUACGGGAGGCAGCAGUGGGGAAUAUUGGGCAAUGGAGGAAACUCUGACCCAGCGACGCCGCGUGCGGGAUGAAGCUUCGGGUUGUAAACCGCUUUCAGUAGGGAAGAAGCGAAAGUGACGGUACCUACAAAAGAAGCACCGGCUAACUAUGUGCCAGCAGCCGCGGUAAUACAUAAGGGUGCAAGCGUUGUCCGGAAUUAUUGGGCGUAAAGAGCUCGUAGGUCGUUUGUUACGUCGGAUGUGAAAACCUGAGGCUCAACCUCAGGCCUGCAUUCGAUACGGGCAAACUAGAGUUUGGUAGGGGAGACUGGAAUUCCUGGUGUAGCGGUGGAAUGCGCAGAUAUCAGGAGGAACACCAAUGGCGAAGGCAGGUCUCUGGGCCAAUACUGACACUGAGGAGCGAAAGUCUGGGGAGCGAACAGGAUUAGAUACCCUGGUAGUCCAGACCGUAAACGGUGGGCACUAGUUGUGGGAACCUUCCACGGUUUCUGCGACGCAGCUAACGCAUUAAGUGCCCCGCCUGGGGAGUACGAUCGCAAGAUUAAAACUCAAAGGAAUUGACGGGGCCCCGCACAAGCAGCGGAGCAUGCGGCUUAAUUCGACGCAACGCGAAGAACCUUACCAAGGCUUGACAUAUAGGGAAAAGUGGCAGAGAUGUCAUGUCCGCAAGGGCUCUAUACAGGUGGUGCAUGGUUGUCGUCAGCUCGUGUCGUGAGAUGUUGGGUUAAGUCCCGCAACGAGCGCAACCC
Molecule: ribosomal RNA, 1059 nt
Filed under: uncultured bacterium
Lineage: Bacteria
Description: bacterial SSU rRNA
Rfam family: Bacterial small subunit ribosomal RNA
Source: RNAcentral